AACGCGAAGAACCUUACCUGGGCUCGAAAUGUAGUGGACCGGAGUAGAAAUAUUCCUUCCCCGCAAGGGGCCGCUAUAUAGGUGCUGCAUGGCUGUCGUCAGCUCGUGUCGUGAGAUGUUGGGUUAAGUCCCGCAACGAGCGCAACCCUUAUCUCCAGUUGCCAUCAUUCAGUUGGGCACUCUGGCGAAACCGCCUCGGAUAACGGGGAGGAAGGUGGGGAUGACGUCAAGUCCUCAUGGCCUUUAUGUCCAGGGCUACACACGUGCUACAAUGGCCGGUACAAACCGUCGCAAACCCGCGAGGGGGAGCUAAUCGGAAAAAGCCGGCCUCAGUUCGGAUCGCAGUCUGCAACUCGACUGCGUGAAGCUGGAAUCGCUAGUAAUCGCGGAUCAGAACGCCGCGGUGAAUACGUUCCCGGGCCUUGUACACACCGCUAGUC
RNAcentral lists this ribosomal RNA (440 nucleotides) under uncultured bacterium. RNAcentral describes it as "bacterial SSU rRNA". It matches the Rfam family "Bacterial small subunit ribosomal RNA", at positions 958 to 1398 of the family's 1533-position model. The record is from RNAcentral.